UAGGGAAUCUUCCGCAAUGGACGCAAGUCUGACGGAGCAACGCCGCGUGAGUGAAGAAGGAUUUCGGUACGUAAAACUCUGUUGUUAGAGAAGAACAGCGCAUAGAGUAACUGUUAUGCGUGUGACGGUAUCUAACCAGAAAGCCACGGCUAACUACGUGCCAGCAGCCGCGGUAAUACGUAGGUGGCAAGCGUUGUCCGGAUUUAUUGGGCGUAAAGCGAGCGCAGGCGGUCAAUUAAGUCUGAUGUGAAAGCCCCCGGCUCAACCGGGGAGGGUCAUUGGAAACUGGUUGACUUGAGUGCAGAAGAGGAGAGUGGAAUUCCAUGUGUAGCGGUGAAAUGCGUAGAUAUAUGGAGGAACACCAGUGGCGAAGGCGACUCUCUGGUCUGUAACUGACGCUGAGGUUCGAAAGCGUGGGUAGCAAACAGG
This 429-nucleotide ribosomal RNA is filed under the name Bacteroidota bacterium. RNAcentral's name for it is "Bacteroidetes bacterium partial 16S ribosomal RNA". It matches the Rfam family "Bacterial small subunit ribosomal RNA", at positions 355 to 776 of the family's 1533-position model. The record is from RNAcentral. Lineage: Bacteria; Pseudomonadati; Bacteroidota.